UAAAAUGAUAGGUCAUGGGGAGUUCAGA
RNAcentral lists this small RNA (28 nucleotides) under Bombyx mori (domestic silkworm). RNAcentral describes it as "ovarian small RNA-18069". The record is from RNAcentral. Lineage: Eukaryota; Metazoa; Arthropoda; Insecta; Lepidoptera; Bombycidae.